This 75-nucleotide transfer RNA is filed under the name Candidatus Tokpelaia sp. JSC085. RNAcentral describes it as "tRNA-Asn". It matches the Rfam family "tRNA". From Rfam's summary of the family: Transfer RNA (tRNA) molecules are approximately 80 nucleotides in length. Their secondary structure includes four short double-helical elements and three loops (D, anti-codon, and T loops). Lineage: Bacteria; Pseudomonadati; Pseudomonadota; Alphaproteobacteria; Hyphomicrobiales. The record is from RNAcentral.
UCCCUGGUAGCUCAGCGGUAGAGCAACCGGCUGUUAACCGGUUGGUCGCUGGUUCGAAUCCGGCCCAGGGAGCCA